RNAcentral lists this long non-coding RNA (3271 nucleotides) under Bemisia tabaci. RNAcentral's name for it is "lncRNA ENSSSA3NGG013502". Lineage: Eukaryota; Metazoa; Arthropoda; Insecta; Hemiptera; Aleyrodidae. The record is from RNAcentral.
AUGAUUUCGAUGAAGGCGAUAUCUCUUUUGGUAAUCCCUUUGUACACAUUGAAUGGAGCUGAAUCAAUAACAGAGAACAGAAAAAAAGUACACAAGCAGGCGACAUCACUCGCAGAACAGAGUACCAAAGAGGAAAACAACGAAGCGAUUAGAUCAGCCUGGUUUACAUUAUUCAAAAACCCAAGGUACGAAAAUGCAGAAAGUGUUGAAACUUAUGUGAGCAGAACAGGGCUGGAAAAUGCGGACGACAUUGAAAAGAAAAUGAUAGAGGAGAACGAAAAGUGAUUUUUCCAAGGUAAGCCGUAAAAUUGAAUGUUUUCAGAAUAUCCAGUCAACAAAUUCUUGUAGGAGUUCAAUUAUGAGAAAAACGAUUAUUUUUCAUAUUUUAAAAGGGUGUUUGAAGAAGUAUCGUUAAUAGUACAUUCACUGCUUUCAGAGGGUGUGACUCGAGAUUUAUGUUUGAAAAUUUGCCAAAGGAAAAAUUUAAAGAGGCGACACGCUAAGACAAAACUUCAUCGAAUCCUAUUUUGUCGUUCAAUUUGCCUUUCAACUUAUCAAGUAGAUAUAAUUAGCUCAUAUGAUUUACUGGAUUUUUUCAUUUUGUACGGUGAUGAGAAUUUAAAGCUCUUGAAUAAGAUGCGUUUGGUAACGUUGUUUUCUCUGUACACAGAAGCUGCGUCACUUAACGGUGACCAUUUUGAGUUUUUUUUUUUUUUACUUUUUUUUACUUUUUUUUUUACUUUUUUGGGGACUUCUAUUCCUGUUUAUUUAGUCACUUAGGAAUCUACAGCCGUCUAUAGACAUGAGUUUUAACAUAAGGAUUAUUUCAUUGUCAGUAGACAAUGGAGGGAUUUCGGCACAUUCAUGCUCCGGCUUUCAAAUUUUCAGGGAUUAAGGUGGAGUAAAAUCUGUUUCUGCAGAUCCAUUCGUCAUAGUUCCGUGAAAAUUUGUCGCCACCAUCGGGAUUCGAAUUUAGGACCCAACGGUCUAGAGUCAGACGCGCUGACCGUUAGGCCAACCUGACCGCGGCAUUUUGAGUUAUUUUGUGGAAAUUUAAAAACCGGAUGUCUCAUCUAUAUCAAAUUUUGUCUUUGAGUUACCAUACAUUCUAAAACGGCGGAAAACUAAGGGUUUUACAGAUUUUUUAUACGCAAAUUAAACUAAAACUAUUAAUUUAUUUCCGCCGAUCUAGCUGUAGUUUACAAGAGAUCUGCGAUAUGAACUAUAUAGUACGGAAAGGAGGACCAAACUACGUUUUGGGAAAAAUUCAGGAAUGAGCCUAAAAGCACUUAAGGCGCGCGAGCUCUCCGUGCUUUGCGACCGAAAGUUUAAACCUAUGGAAAUCUAUCGAUUUUUGGAGGGGCCAGGUGCUCCGACAAGAAUCGAUUAUUUACCAUAGGUUUAAUGGAAGGAAUCCGGUGCUACCAAAUUGCUGGACCCGCCUCUGUGCGAGAGAAGUCUAUCAAUGAAGGACUUUCAUUGUAGACGGAUUUGUUUUUCAAGUAGAAAGGUCCUCGUUCGAUAUUGAUUGAAGUAAGAAAUGAGUUGUUUUUUUUCUUCGUUAUGAGAGGCUGGUAAGUUGGUUUGGCACUAAGAAUUUUAAAGUAUCCUCUAGGGUUAAUAUUGCUUGCAACAACAUAACAUUGACGCCUAUGCAAAACUAGGGGGCUAUGCCCCCUGGCCGCUACGCGGCCCAACCCCCAGAGGGUCUUCGCCCACUCUUAGGCCCACUUCGACAAAAGAACGACCAAAAAACAUAACAUGGAAAGAUUUCCAUACUCGACUCUCAUUUGUCGAAUCUUCCUCUGGCCGGGAGCAAUUGGACCAAUAAAAAUCCAAUAAGAAAACCGUCAUUUAUUUCAAACUUCAGGCCAAUACUGAAACGAAACGAAACGAACAGAACAAAGCGUUUCGUUACUUUUGAAUAGUCUGAAGUAAAGGAGCAUACCUUCAAUUCACUUACCUUACCCUACUAACAGACCAAGAUUCACAAUUUCCCGCUUAGUUCAAUUUUGCCCUUUUCCUAAACUCCCAGGUAUAUACUCUAUUAUAAAAAAAUCUGGGUCAUAUUUCCAGAAUCUGAUUACAGCGGGCUCAUUUAGGGACUAUCACCUGUCGAUAACCGCAAAAAUUAUGAAACUCGGUCCAGUAGAACGCCCAAACGGAACUAUGGCAAAAAAUAAAAAAUUACAUUGUUUAAAUUGGAGAAUUUGCGACUUCACCGCGUAAUAUGAAAAAAACUUGGGUCAAAUUUUCAAAAUUUGAAUUAAGCGGGCUCAUCUAGAGACAAUUGCCUGUUGAUAGCCGCAAAAAUCAAGAGAAUUGGCCCGGUAGAACGCUGGAACUAUGCGUUACCAGAUAUGCACAUCUCGGAGGCUUCGGAGCUUAUAUGAUGAUAUAUUUGUGAUUAAUUGCAGGCAAAUACUCGUCGAAACAUCUGGAUUGAAGAAACUACAUUGGAUACGCGUGGAUUCAGGGCGCCAGAUUUACAUGACCGAAGACAAAAGACCUGUUACAAGGUGAGAAACAAAAUAAACAAGUUAACACUAUAAAAGUAAGCUCAAGUUAUUAUAUUUAAAAAAAGAUAAUUAGGCAUAUGAAAAUUAUGAUAUUUGGGGUGUGAAAACUUUCUUUUUUUCAUUUUUCUGUUUUCAGAGGAUAAAUAUGAUUAUGACGCGCCCGACACCAGACGCUACCCCGAUGACAGAGGCAUGACUUUUUACUCCGGUCGCACGACAUCCAGAUAUUUUCCCGAUUUCGAACAGGAUCGUUGAAGUGUUUAAAGAAUCCAUUCGUAUAAAAACCCAUGCAAUUUCAAGAACUGUAGAAAAAUGAAUGGAGUGUUGAAUUUAAAAAUCGAAGCCGUAGUUUAUAAAAUUGAUUUGACUCUAAAACUCAAAAGAAGAAACCAAAAUGUAACAUAAAUGUACCUAAUUAAUUUAUCAGAAUAAUAAUAAAAAAACCUGGUUAUUUAUGUUCUUUCACCUGUUAUUCCAUGGAUUUGCUAUGUGCGCGAGCUUUGCUACGGAAUUUUCUUUUAUACAGGGUUAUCCAAAAGUCACUGACCACCCCUGUAACUUUUUUCCAAAUUGAGAUAGAAGUUUGAAACUUUGGGAAUGUUCCUCGGUCUAAGGUAGCAACUUUUUGGUCCCCCCAAAAUUUUGGGGGGCUGCCCCCCUUAAGGGGGGCGGGGGCUAACUUUUUUUUUCAAAUGGCAACCACCCCUUUGUGAUACCUCAUUCAAAAAAUAAUAAAAAAGAAAAUUUUUGGC